UACGUAGGGGGCGAGCGUUGUCCGGAAUGAUUGGGCGUAAAGGGCGCGUAGGCGGCUUGGUAAGUCUGGAGUGAAAGUCCUGUUUUCAAGAUGGGAAUUGCCUUGGAUACUGCUUAGCUUGAGUGCAGGAGAGGUUAUCGGAAUUCCCGGUGUAGCGGUGAAAUGCGUAGAGAUCGGGAGGAACACCAUUGGCGAAGGCGGGUAACUGGACUGCAACUGACGCUGAGGCGUGAAAGUGUGGGGAGCAAAC
Molecule: ribosomal RNA, 250 nt
Filed under: uncultured prokaryote
Description: partial 16S ribosomal RNA
Rfam family: Bacterial small subunit ribosomal RNA
Source: RNAcentral